This 843-nucleotide ribosomal RNA is filed under the name Triticum aestivum (bread wheat). Its description in RNAcentral is "partial small subunit ribosomal RNA". The record is from RNAcentral. Lineage: Eukaryota; Viridiplantae; Streptophyta; Magnoliopsida; Poales; Poaceae.
AUGGCUGCUAGGCAAAUCUCAUGGACACCUACCAUGUCAUCGUACAUGCUAGCCCAUCUAUGUGGUUUGGUGACUGGUGGCCAUAGACCAGGUACCUCCUUCAAGAAUGUCCACUGGAAUGGUUGUGCCGCUGCUAUGAAUGAAUAUUUUCAGCGCACCGACUUGAUUGGAACUCACAUCACAAAUCACACAAGGACGUGGAAAAGGAAGUAUAAGCAGAUAGUGCACCUCAAAUCAUUGAGUGGUGCACUUUGGGAUGAAGAUAACUUUAUGAUUGUUCUUGAUCAUGAGCAUUACACAAACCAUAUUAAGGACCACAAAGAAGAUGAACCCUUCCUGAACAAGCCUAUUAAACAUUAUGAGGAGAUGCUGGUUAUUGUUGGAGCAAGCAUGGCUACAGGGCAAUAUGCAAAAGGCUCAAGUGACCCUUUAGCGACGGAGGUGAUUGAUCUUGAAGAACAGAAAACCAACAAAGCCGCUGCCUCGAAUGAAGAGGUUGCCCAAUCACACACUUGUGAUGAGUCAGCUGCUCCCAAGUUGAAGAAAGUCAAAACUAAUCCUUCUGCAGAAGAUAGGAUGGUUGCAACAAUAAUGGCUUCAAGUGAAAGGAUUGUUGUUGCCAUUGAGAAACUUGCUAGCGACGUCAACCCCGCCAUUGAUGGUCUUUGGGAUGAGAUGAAAGAACUCCCUGGCUUUGAUGUGGAUUCCCUUGCUCAUUACUAUGCCUAUUUGGUUGACAAUCCUCGUGUUGCAACGGCAUUCAAGGUCCUGGGGGGUGUUCAAAGAAAGGUUUGGGUCUCUAGGUAUGUGAAGAGUACCUUUCCUGAAGCUGAAGCAUGCUGA